GCCCAAACUAAAUUUAAUUAAAUCAUAUUCAAUUAGACUUAAUCUCAGCCCAUUGGCUUAAUCAAAUUAAGCCAAUUAGCAAUCAAAUUGCUAAUCGAUCCUCCUAUAAUAUUUGCACUAGGUUAAAUGUCAAUCGUAUUGAUCGUUUAACCCUAGAAUGAUUCUUAAUCGUUGAUCAACCAUCCGAUCGGAUUGUGAACUCUAAUGUGUGUGACCUCAUAGGUCUGAAC
Molecule: long non-coding RNA, 230 nt
Filed under: Elaeis guineensis (African oil palm)
Lineage: Eukaryota; Viridiplantae; Streptophyta; Magnoliopsida; Arecales; Arecaceae
Description: long non-coding RNA (EGUI_LNC039458)
Source: RNAcentral